This 387-nucleotide ribosomal RNA is filed under the name Triticum aestivum (bread wheat). Its description in RNAcentral is "partial small subunit ribosomal RNA". Lineage: Eukaryota; Viridiplantae; Streptophyta; Magnoliopsida; Poales; Poaceae. The record is from RNAcentral.
AUGUCAGAGACGCAGUCGCAGUCUGUUGAUGGCACAGAACCUGUCACGCAACCUGAGGAUGUGCCUCUUCAGCUUCUUCUGGAGGACCAGCACAAGAGGAAGAAGCAAGAAGAUUUUGACAAGAAGAUGGCGGCCCGCCUUCAGAAAGGUUCUGAUGUUCCUGAAACUGUUGAUGUUGCUGAGCUCACUAUUGGGCAUUGCUCUAUUGUUGUGGAAGACGUGUCGUGUGGCGCUGAUGCCGUGGUUGUCCCCGUGAAGAAGAAAAUCAAGAAGACCACUUCCAGGAAGAAUUUAGUUGGUGAACUUACUCCUCGGAGGAGCCCACGUGUUUCAAAGGCUGUAGAAAUUGCUGAAGAGGAAGGGCUAGCCCUCGGUGGUAUGCCAUGA